RNAcentral lists this long non-coding RNA (768 nucleotides) under Salvia miltiorrhiza (redroot sage). RNAcentral's name for it is "long non-coding RNA (SMIL_LNC000275)". The record is from RNAcentral. Lineage: Eukaryota; Viridiplantae; Streptophyta; Magnoliopsida; Lamiales; Lamiaceae.
AAAAGUUUCUCUCUCCCGUUGAGGAGUGCGCGCAGCCCACGGGCUUGACUUUAACGUCCUCCGUCUCCAUUUUGCCGGUGACCGGGCCGUCCCCACCCCCGCCGUUCGGCCCCUCCGCUGCAGCCACCAUCUCCGACUGAGAGCUGAGCGCCGCCGCACCACUCACGGCUGGUCUGGUGCGGCCGUCCCCGACGUUCGGCCCCUCCGCAGCAGCCGCCAUUAGCUUGUAAAAGCUGAGCGCUGCUGCACCAUCUCGGCUGGUCUGGUGCGACUGGGACCGCAGCGGCGGACCAGGAGAUCGAGAGCUGCGGACCAGGCGAGAGCUGAGCGUUGCCGUCCUACGCUCCGCUGCUCCUAGCGCCGGGUCUGGACGCCUCCAGCCGUGGACUCGCCGACCGAAGCACCGCCCGCCGGAAGAUACCGCAGCGGCGGAAAUCAGCUCAGCGCCGUCUGGAAGUCCACCGCAGCCUUUGGACGUCCACAGCAGCCUCCGUCAACCUCAUCUACGAGAAAACUUCCUCCGGAACGGAUGAUGCGGUUCUCGUCCUCUAUCUCCGAUCGAAAUUCCUUGUAAGCUUCUUUAUCACCUCUUUGUUGUUAAUCUCUAGUAGAGAGGUGAGUUCUGUUCGAAUUUCUUCUUCUUUUCUUCGUUGGUUGUUUUGCUCGAAUCUGAUCGAUCUUGUUCUCUUAUCGGAUAUUUCGAACUUUUGCUGUUUUCAUUUUCGUGUUUGAAAUAUUCUGUGGCCCAAGAAGGAAUUUUUGGAUGAC